UCCAAGUAUAUACAGUAAGUGGAGCAGGGGC
This 31-nucleotide non-coding RNA is filed under the name Homo sapiens (human). Lineage: Eukaryota; Metazoa; Chordata; Mammalia; Primates; Hominidae. The record is from RNAcentral.